UAAAAUUAUUUUAAAUAAUAUAUUAGAAAUGAAAUGUUAUUCGUUUUUAAAGGUAUCUAGUUCUUUAAGAAAUAAAUUUAAUUUAGAAAUUUUAUAUUAUUUAAUUUAAUAUAUUAAUUAAAUAAUUAUUUAAUUUUAAUAUUUUAUGGGAUAAGCUAUGAAAUAAAUUUUUAAAAAUUAUUAAAUAAAAUUAAUAAAUAUAGGCUUAGAAAUAGUUAUUAUUAAUAAAAAUGUUAUAAUUUAUUUUUUUAAAUAUAUUAUUUAUUUAUAUUUUAAAAAUUUAUUAAAGUAUUUAUUUUAAUUUAAAAAAUAAAAUAAUAAUGAUAAAAUUAGUAUAUUAUUGUUGUAAAUAUAAAUUUAAAUGAUAAGUUUUUAUAAAGAACUCGGCAAAAAUAAUAUUCGCCUGUUUAACAAAAACAUGUCUUUAUGAAUUUUUCUAUAAAGUCUAACCUGCCCACUGAAUAAAAUUUAAAUGGCCGCAGUAUUUUGACUGUGCAAAGGUAGCAUAAUCAUUAGUCUUUUAAUUGAAGGCUGGAAUGAAUGGUUGGACGAAAUAUUAACUGUUUCAUAAAAAUUUUUAUUAGAAUUUUAUUUUUUAGUUAAAAAGCUAAGAUUUAUUUAAAAGACGAGAAGACCCUAUAAAUCUUUAUAUUUAAAUUAUUAUAAUUUUUUAGAAUUAUUUUAUUAUUAUAAUUAAUAAUAUUUUAUUGGGGUGAUAUUAAAAUUUAAUAAACUUUUAAUUUAAUUUAUCAUUAAUUUAUGAAUAAAUGAUCCGUUAUUAACGAUUAAAAAAAUAAGUUACUUUAGGGAUAACAGCGUAAUUUUUUUGGAGAGUUCAUAUCAAUAAAAAAGAUUGCGACCUCGAUGUUGGAUUAAGAUAUAAUUUUAGGUGUAGCUGCUUAAAUUUUAAGUCUGU
This 916-nucleotide ribosomal RNA is filed under the name Phorocera obscura. RNAcentral describes it as "partial 16S rRNA". The record is from RNAcentral. Lineage: Eukaryota; Metazoa; Arthropoda; Insecta; Diptera; Tachinidae.